RNAcentral lists this ribosomal RNA (460 nucleotides) under uncultured bacterium. Its description in RNAcentral is "partial 16S ribosomal RNA". It matches the Rfam family "Bacterial small subunit ribosomal RNA", at positions 338 to 795 of the family's 1533-position model. The record is from RNAcentral.
CCUACGGGAGGCAGCAGUGAGGAAUAUUGGUCAAUGGACGAGAGUCUGAACCAGCCAAGUAGCGUGAAGGAUGACUGCCCUAUGGGUUGUAAACUUCUUUUAUAUGGGAAUAAAAUGUUCCACGUGUGGGAUUUUGUAUGUACCAUAUGAAUAAGGAUCGGCUAACUCCGUGCCAGCAGCCGCGGUAAUACGGAGGAUCUGAGCGUUAUCCGGAUUUAUUGGGUUUAAAGGGAGCGUAGGUGGAUUGUUAAGUCAGUUGUGAAAGUUUGCGGCUCAACCGUAAAAUUGCAGUUGAAACUGGCAGUCGUGAGUACAGUAGAGGUGGGCGGAAUUCGUGGUGUAGCGGUGAAAUGCUUAGAUAUCACGAAGAACUCUGAUUGCGAAGGCAGCUCACUGGACUGCAACUGACACUGAGGCUCGAAAGUGUGGGUAUCAAACAGGAUUAGAUACCCGUGUAGUC